GGCGGCUCCGGCGGCGGGCGGCGGGCGGCUGGGCUGCCGCGGUCGCCGCGGCCCUUCGGCCCUUCGGAAGCGAGCAGCGGCUGCGCCGAUCUUUGUUCUUGUUGAGACAAAGCCCCUGGACUUGGGUCCCCGGUCCGUGCAGUCGGAUUAUUCGCCCUCCAGCAUCUUGGGUCACUACACCAGAGUUCUAUAAAAAGUUGCCCGUGAAAUUAAAACAACAACAACAACACAUGGAAUCCGCUGCAUAGGUUCAGAAAAUAAGAGGAGCUGGAUUGUAACGGAAUGCUGUCUUAAUGCACACUUAGCCGUCGAGGCACAGAGUAAGCUGCAGAUUUCUACGAUUAAAACGGUGGAUUGAGUGUUCAGGCCAGCGAGCAGUCCUGGUUUCAUGCAAUGGAGUGGACACAGUCCCCUGAUUUGCAGCUUUGGUAUUCAGUCUACCCCCAUGGGACUACCAGUAUUGGCCAGAAUCCUAUGUGACAGGUAUUGGCUUCAUCAGCUGUGACUCUAUGAAAACAUGGUCCCAGGUGGGGUUAUGGCUGGCACUUGACCGCCCUUCCUUAUGCCAUCCCUGCUCAGAAGAUGUCCUGUAUUGUCCAAACCCAAGCACGUACCCUUGUGCCUACAGCUUUUGUAAUUGCACAUUGAAGACGAA
Molecule: long non-coding RNA, 655 nt
Organism: Nyctereutes procyonoides (raccoon dog)
Lineage: Eukaryota; Metazoa; Chordata; Mammalia; Carnivora; Canidae
Exons: 3
Source: RefSeq, a predicted model, not a curated record